Tribolium madens (black flour beetle) is the source of this 6397-nucleotide RNA transcript. It is a transcript of the gene named zinc finger protein 343-like, with no coding region annotated. The record is from RefSeq and is a predicted model, not a curated record. NCBI's taxonomy places the organism in Eukaryota, Metazoa, Arthropoda, Insecta, Coleoptera, Tenebrionidae. The transcript has 5 exons.
AUGAGAGGGUAAGUUUCCCGCCUUGAUUCAAAAAACAACCCUUGCUCCCCAACCCUUCAAUAAUGACAGACAGAAUGGCGAACAUCGAGGUUUUGUAAAUGUUUGAUCGCGUUAGCAAUAUUACUCAAUUACUUUCGAUUUCUGACUGGAGUUAUGACAAUAUAAAACCGGGAUUCAGGAUGAAUUUCACACCGUUCGGUGGUCAUUUCCCCACAGCCAUCCCCACGAUUCACCAAUUCGCGGCAAAGUUUUCUCAAGAAAACAAUUCCGCAUCUCUGUGCCCAACUCAGGAGAACAACAGCAAUAGAUACACAGCUAAUGGGGUACCUUCGUUCACUCAACAUCACCCCCCGACUCAACAACAAAUGAUCAACACCACUAAAUAUCAACCUAAUUACAUGAACCAAUCGAUUUACCACCAAAACAACGUUCGUCAAGAGAAACGACAGGGUUAUGAGCACCAAGAGUUGGCUCAGGAAUUAUGUGCCGCUAUGUUAAAUCCACAGCCAGACAAACAAGAUAAAAGUAAACAGGAAACUCAGGAGAACAAUCGUCAACCGCACCAACAACAACAAAUCCAAACGAAUCAACAACAACCAGCGACUUCGAUGCCCUCGACAUGGCAAUCCCUGGCGACUCCGGGCUCGACCGUCGCCGACUACUUGUCCCACUUGCCGGCAUCCACGCUGCCUUUAAGUCUGCACCACUUCCUCAAAUAUUCCGCCGAAACAAUCAAGAAGGAAAGUGCCCAACAGGAGCCCAACCCCAACAUCCUGCCCCCACAACCAACUUCGAAUAAUCUGCCCAACACUGCUCAAACCCCGAAGAAGAAAAAGAAGAAAAAACCGGAGAAGGAGAAGAAGCCGAGGCCCAAACCCGGCGAAAUCCGCUUGACGACAGCUCUGGACGGCUCGACGCUCUAUUGUUGUCCCGAGUGCCACAUGGCGUAUCCCGAGAAGGAGCUCCUGGAGCAGCAUUUGGUGGGGCACACUCUCGAGCGCAGAUUCGUGUGUGAUAUUUGCGGGGCCGGCUUGAAACGCAAAGACCACUUGACGAGACACAAGCAGUCGCACAACCCCGAGCGGCCCUACGUGUGCACCGUGUGUCUCAAAGCCUUCAAGCGGAAGGAGCAGUUGACUCUGCAUUUUGUUAUACAUUCGGGGGAGAAGAGGCAUAUUUGUACCGAGUGUGGCAAGGGGUUUUACCGGAAGGAUCAUCUGAGGAAGCACACAAGGUCGCACAUUGCGAGGAGAGUUAAGGCUGAGCUCUCGCAACAAGGCAAUUCGCAAACGCUGCAACUGCAAAUGGCAGCUCCGGCGACUAGUAAUACAGUCAGUCAAGGUGAAAAGUGCGAACGAGCCCGCUAGGAGAUACAUGACUCCGGUGACCAAAACGGCGCUUAUCUGGUGCUGGAAAACGCCGAAUGCGCCCACGAGAGCGGCACUUCCCAGGACUAUCAAGCAGACCAAGGCGCAAGAUAUUGAUAAAUUCUGCAUUCCUGAAAUUAUGAUUAAUAAAAUAAAUUAAAUUUGAAACGGGUUUGGGGGUUUACUGUGUUGCCAGUCGCCGCGUGGCUCGUAACCUUUGAUACCGUCGAUUCCGCCGGAGAGGUAGUUUACGCAGGGUUGAACCGAUGGAAAUCCCACACGACCCAACAAUGAUAUUUCUUCCUCUGGAAAGAACAAUUUAUCACAUUGCAAAGAUGAAAUACUGCGAUUUUUAUCCAUAACACCACUGAGAGACGGCCAGUACAUUCAUCACAAUUUUAUAUUCCUAGUAAUGUGAAAAAAAUUGUGAAUAAAAAUAUGUACUCGUAUUUUCCUGAGCGAGGUGCAACGAUUUUGUUUGCCAUCUAUUAUGGUUGGGAUAGUCUUGAACCCUCGCUACUAAAUAAAUAUUUGAUAUCGAUUAGAACAAGUCUUGUCACGUGACAGAAAUGUUUAUAGAAUGAUGUCGAUAACUAAAACUGCUUUUUUUAAAGAUGAUUAUUAUUACAAUAAUAAAUAAAACACUGAGCUGAAAGUGUUUCGUGGUUAUACUAUUAUAUUCUUUAACCAAUUGUUUCAAUUCAUGGCAAAAUGCCAGUUAUAAAAACAUUCAUAAGUUAUCUUGAAAGUCUUUUAGUCUGAAGCCAUGUUUUGAAGGGUCAAAGCCCUGUAUUUAGACUGCAUAAAUAGAGCAAACUAUUUGUUUAUGAGCUAAAUUAGAUUGAAUAUUAUCAAAAGUCUUGAUUAAAAACUAGAAAAAAAUGGAAUUUGUUUGUGUAAGUAGAGUAAAAAAGUCAGUAAUUUACUUAGUUAGGUUUUUAAUUGACAAAAACAUUUGUCUGGUCAGAAAUAAAAAAAAAACAGAUUUCUGUCUUCCUUCGUAUCCAUUUCAUUCGCACUGACAGCAGCAAUGAUAUUUCUGGCAAAUCCCACGGGAUCAAAGAAAAUAUUCCCGUUUCUUGUUUACACUUUUGGAAGCAUACGAUUUCAUAGCAGUGGUUGCUUUAUCAUUAUUUCAAGAGGUGAAUUUUUGAUGCCGCGUAUAAAAUGUUUCGUGAAUUGUCUCGAAAAGCUGAUUUCAGCAACGUUUUAAUCUUAGUCUUUGUGAAUUAUUUCAUCAAAUGCGGAAAGUAGAAGAUCGUAAAUUUUAACACGUAAAAGUCGAGGUUUACAGAUUUGAAUUACAGUCCGGUCGCGUUUGCAAAAGUAAUUAUUUAGGGAUUCAGGAAAGAUUUAUUUACGUUUUUUGACCGGUAUAGGGGAGUUUUAGCCGUAACCAACAAGAUAUAUCGAAUAAUAAAUUGUAGAUUUUGUGAUGACCUACAGUUUAACAUAAGUUGGUGGAAACGUACCGAAGGAGGAAAGAUGGUAAUCCGAUUAAAUCAUCUUGUGGUGUAAAUCCUGCGAACUUUCUAGUUAGUCCUGAUGGAAUUAAGUGAUUUAGUUGCGAACUUCUAGUUGCAACAUAAAUCUUCAGUUAUUAAGGAUACAUACUUUGUAUUGAUUUUUUUUAAGUUGCAUCAGUUUGUUAGCGGGGUAGGAUUAAAAAAAAAAACACGAAUAUAUAAUUAUAAUAGGAGCUUUACAAGGUUAUUUAUCAUUUUCUGUUUGCUUUUAGAAAGUUCAGGAAUAAUAAUAAUUAAUUGGUUUUGGAUCUAUCUUGUUUUGUAACCACGGUUGAGAAUGAGGACGUGUGUACAGAACAUUUUUUUACAAGGGACGGUGGUUUUCAACGUAAUUUCACAUAAAUAUUUUAUUAACGAAAUUCACAAAGGUUACGUGUUUGAAAUACAAGGUUGUUGAUUUCAUAUUAUUGAUGAAUUUGUUAUGUCGUCAGAAACAUCAAUAUAUUGAUUUAAUCUGUGCUUCUAUGACUUUUUUUUGUACAGAUUUUUUAAUAUGUGGGCCAACUAGAAUUGGAUCUAUGCUUGAAGCGUUGAGCUUAAAAUAUUAUUCGUGAUUUCAUCAACAGCUCGGUUAUUUCCUUUAAUUACGCCUCAUAAAUCCCCCACGCGAAAAUUCUAUCUGCUGUUGUGGCAAACCAGCCUUUCAGUCUGUGAUUAAUUUUUGUAUUGAAAUCAGCGACCGCAUGAUUGAUGUUUUAUUGAUUAAUAAUAAAGAAGGUUCUUACCGGUUAAGCUCACACAGAGUGUCCAAAUACCCCCGUGCAUCGGCACCAGAAAGGCCACUAUUUUGUCUCUUUCGUCAUUGGUGGAAACUCUGGCAACGACCCCAUCUAAAAGCCAUCGCAGUCUGACCGAACUAUUGGCUAAAUGUUCCAAAGCUGUGCGGUCCCACGUUACCUCUUCCCAAUGAUCGGUCAUAAUGGCCGCACACAACAUCCCCGUGGCACAAGUUGUCAAUAGUAGUGUCCCCAAGAGGAAAAACACGCUCGGGUGGACGCUGCAGUUCCAUCCCGAAUCGUCUUCGGGAUUAUUAGGCCUCUGAAAGUUUUUUAAUUUGAUUUUGAAAACUUUUAGGAAAGUUAUAACGAAAUGUCGCGAUGUCAGCUGAACAUUUCUUUUUUUACAAUUUUUUAUUUUGGGUAGAACAUGCUCUAUAGUUUAAUGACUGGUAUUAAAUUGAAUGUAAAUUUUAUUCAUCUCCCAACCUUUUAAAAGUAUUGAUCGCUUGGGAAAGUAGAUUAUUGUCUGCAUAUUUUUGAAUUCAUUUUUAAAUUUUGCAUGUUUAUUACCAUUUGUACUGACUGAAGAAAUAAUUAUUUUAAAUGUUAUUCUUGCAAAAGGGUGAAAAGGGGUUUAAUCGAACAGUUUGUUUUUUAGAGAACCGAUGCAUAAAAUUGGGAAUAGAUAGGGAAUAGCAAAAAUGGUCAAAAUUUUAGUCUGAAAACUUUGUAGAUUUUGUAAUAUACCUCCUUCAUGAUAAAUAUGCUUUAUAACUGUCACAACUGUGAACUUUUUAAGUUUUAAAUUUGAAAGACAAGCAAUUAUUUUAGACAACUUAACUUGUGUUAAAAUCAUAAAAAAUUGUUAUGUUAUCUAUUUCCGACUCUUUUUCUAAUUUAUUAAGGGAAACUCACCCAACCCGGUUCCUCAGUUUCAGUAUUCUCCAUCAAAGUGUCGCAAUCGACUAUGAGGAGAUCGUAUUCUUGUUGGUGCUUCAGUUUGAUGGCGUCCUUGACGAACUGGAAGAAGUAUUUUAAGGAUUGAAUGGUUGAUGUUUGUUGCGAAAGAGGGUUAUAAAGUAUUGGAAGUUUAUCUGUUUUAUUAGGUCCAGAAGUGGCGAUGAUCCUUAUUUUUUUUUUUCACGUUAUUGACGAACUUGUGGGCGAAAUCGAUUUGUAUAGUUCUUCGUUUGGAGGCAUGUCAAGGUCUAAACGACUCAAAUGGGUUCUAGGACGCCACGAUGUAUGUCACCUGGAAAUGCCGAGUGGUACAAAUUUUGGUUCGGGUUCACAAAAUUUAUUUUUUACAAUUGAGGAGCAGACUUUCAAAAUGCAGUUUGUCCAUGUUUUUAUGAAUUGAGAUAAAGAAAGAUAAAAGAAGGACAGUUUUUGUUCUCUCCUGAAAAAAUGCAAAUUUGGACAACCUGCUUUUUGAAAGUCUGCUUCUCAAUUGUAUUAUUAAGCAGUUAAUAGAAAAUGACGUAGUUUUCAAGGUACAUUUCCGUCAACAGGGUUGUAAAAUUGACUAUUAAUCUCCCUAGUCAUAUAAUUUUUAAUGAAUUCAAUCAUCUAUUUUUGUCGUCUCAACUAAUGGGUUUGGGAUUAAUUAAAUAUUAUAACGAGUACCUAUAACAAUUAGUUUCACUUCGGUUUUUGAUAACGUUUUGUUCUCUAUUUAAAUCACUAACUCUUUGUAUUAUAAAAAUCGUUAUACUUAUAGAUUUUCGUUUCGCGAUGAAGUAAGAGAAAAUUUACAAUAUUUCCACCUGAAGGGUAAUCAAUCAUGGAUGAUGGAGGAUGUUUAUCUAUUAAAAAUCUAGAAUAUAAAUCAGCAUUUACUAAAAUAAUUUUUUUAUAACAUGAAUUACUAACGAAAUGAGUUGUUACAUUUGCGGAAUUAUAGGAAAUGCCAAAGUGCUACAAUUAAAUUAUGAAUGUAUUGCUGACAAGGGGUAACAAGUUGCUUCUGAAGUCUUUUAAAGGGAUUAAGUUUUCUUUGGGUUGCGUCCAAUAAGAUUUUUGGAGCGGAAUAUUAAAACUGCUGACAGUAAAAGCACUCCUUUAUUGCUGCAGUUUGUUGAAAUAAUUUGAAUAUUUUCAGAUGUUGGUGUAGAAUAUUUCAACCUAUUACAUUAAGUAUAUCGAGCUCUUAAAUUUAGAUUACUUCCACCCCGCACCAUUUAAUUAAGUAUUAAUUGAAAUUUAUGUUCUAAGGAGAAUAUUAUACGAGCUUUGCGGGCUUCCUAUGAACUUUGAAGUUCAAGUCAAAUAUUAAUUUCAUUCAACCCCGUAACAAUCCGCGACAGCUAGAUUCUAAUUUUAUCCACGGUUUUUACGAUAGUAUUUUUGAAGCGGCGAUACAUUUCUUGAGUUUUUCUAACAUACGAUGAGCGGGAAACCAAGAGCAUUUGCAUGUAACUUAUUUUCCCAAGGGUGUACAACUUCAUUUCCGGUAAUGCAAAAUUACGAGGUUUCGCACCCGACUGAAAAACAAUCUGUUUUUGCGGUCGAAAAUCCAUAAAUUUUCUUUCAACGGAAAAUUGAUUCAGAAUAAAAUCAUCUUACCUAGUGGAACGUGAUUCGAAUUUGAUUACAAUCCCAAUAAUACAAAUAUAAAAUAAUUAUUUUUUACGAAAGACACAGUUAAUUUGAAUUAAUUGACUUGGAAUUUUCGGUUCACAGUUUGAGCGUCAUGUUCGAAUAAAUUCUAUAAAUUGUGCGUCUCACGCAACACGAUUUUUCACAUUUCUCAUUGCAAUCCUAGGCAAAGGCCAAAGCACUACUG